This 427-nucleotide ribosomal RNA is filed under the name uncultured bacterium. RNAcentral's name for it is "partial 16S ribosomal RNA". It matches the Rfam family "Bacterial small subunit ribosomal RNA", at positions 355 to 774 of the family's 1533-position model. The record is from RNAcentral.
UGGGGAAUAUUGCACAAUGGGCGCAAGCCUGAUGCAGCCAUGCCGCGUGUAUGAAGAAGGCCUUCGGGUUGUAAAGUACUUUCAGCGGGGAGGAAGGUGUUGUGGUUAAUAACCACAGCAAUUGACGUUACCCGCAGAAGAAGCACCGGCUAACUCCGUGCCAGCAGCCGCGGUAAUACGGAGGGUGCAAGCGUUAAUCGGAAUUACUGGGCGUAAAGCGCACGCAGGCGGUCUGUCAAGUCGGAUGUGAAAUCCCCGGGCUCAACCUGGGAACUGCAUCCGAAACUGGCAGGCUUGAGUCUUGUAGAGGGGGGUAGAAUUCCAGGUGUAGCGGUGAAAUGCGUAGAGAUCUGGAGGAGUACCGGUGGCGAAGGCGGCCCCCUGGACAAAGACUGACGCUCAGGUGCGAAAGCGUGGGGAGCAAACA